AGAACGAACGCUGGCGGCAUGCCUAACACAUGCAAGUCGAACGAGACCUUCGGGUCUAGUGGCGCACGGGUGCGUAACGCGUGGGAAUCUGCCCUUGGGUUCGGGAUAACAGUUGGAAACGACUGCUAAUACCGGAUGAUGUCUUCGGACCAAAGAUUUAUCGCCCAAGGAUGAGCCCGCGUAGGAUUAGCUUGUUGGUGAGGUAAGAGCUCACCAAGGCGACGAUCCUUAGCUGGUCUGAGAGGAUGAUCAGCCACACUGGGACUGAGACACGGCCCAGACUCCUACGGGAGGCAGCAGUGGGGAAUAUUGGACAAUGGGCGAAAGCCUGAUCCAGCAAUGCCGCGUGAGUGAUGAAGGCCUUAGGGUGUAAAGCUCUUUUACCCGGGAUGAUAAUGACAGUACCGGAGAAUAAGCCCGCUAACUCCGUGCCAGCAGCCGC
Molecule: ribosomal RNA, 442 nt
Filed under: uncultured soil bacterium
Lineage: Bacteria
Description: bacterial SSU rRNA
Rfam family: Bacterial small subunit ribosomal RNA
Source: RNAcentral